Molecule: long non-coding RNA, 3245 nt
Filed under: Salvia miltiorrhiza (redroot sage)
Lineage: Eukaryota; Viridiplantae; Streptophyta; Magnoliopsida; Lamiales; Lamiaceae
Description: long non-coding RNA (SMIL_LNC007812)
Source: RNAcentral
GCACCAGAUGGCAGCAACUAGAAAUUGAAAAACAAGAGAGGUUUAAGCCGCUUUACCAGAGCGGGAUCCUAAGGUCAGGACCCCGACUUACCAAUGCGACGACGAGGUCAACCGUGGCUCUGAUACCACUGUUGAGUAUCGACCCUCGUCGUCGUUGUUGAAGGCUUCCUUCUCCGGGGCAGCAAAGCAGCGGCAACACAGCGGCGGAACAGCAGCAGGGACGGCGGCGGCAGGGGCAGCAGCAGCGGCGGCUGUCCUCCGGCAACAACGCAGCAGCAACAGCGGCGCAGCAACGAGGUAGCAGCAGCCUCGACAACCUGCAAGGAAAAACACACAAAGAGAGGAACAAGGGGCGUCGAUCUUCUCGGCUCAGGUACAGCUCUCUUCCUCUCGAUCACGCACACACUAAGCCACGAAGAAUCACAAAGGGGACGUUGCUCUCGCCGGCACCACAAUCGGCCAACAAGCCUUACACCUUCACCGGUAGCACCUCCACACAAAGGAAGAACACUAAGCAAUUUUCGUCUCCUAUACAGCCACAGACCAAGGGCUCUUUAAAUAGCCUACCAAAGAAGGAUCUAGAGAAGGAAGGUGAAGAGGUUCAUGGGGAGAAGAAGCGCAGGGGUCACAGCCCCAAAAGGGCACUAAUUUCGACUGGAAGGGGAAAUGGGAGGGCUGCCAAAAUAAGGAGGAUAGGGCAUGGGCUUGUUGGGCCAAAAUUGGGCCAACUAACAACAACGGACUUAGGAUUAAUGCACUAUUUUCUCGGAAUGGAGAUAAGUCAAGAGGAAGAAGGCAUCUUCCUAUCACAAAAAAAGUAUAUUGAAGAUAUGCUCAAGAAGUUCAAGAUGCAAGACUGCAAGCCAGUGGUUACACCUCUCAUUCCAAAUGAGAAGUUGAAGAAAGAAGAUGGGUCAAAACCGACGGAUUCUACAAACUAUCGAAGUUUGAUUGGGAGUCUACUAUAUUUGACGGCAACAAGGCCUGACAUCAAGUAUGCAACAAGCCUUCUAUCCAGAUUCAUGGAAAGUCCGAAGGAGACCCACUAUGGAGCAGCAAAGAGACUUCUCAGAUACCUGCAAGGUACGCUCAACUAUGGUAUUUGGUACAAACCAAAGUCUGACUCACAGAUUAGUGGAUAUAGCGAUAGUGAUUGGGCUGGAUCUCAAGAUGACAUGAAAAGCACCUCAGGCUAUGCUUUCAAGCUUGGCUCAGGAAUUUUUCUUGGGGAUCAAAGAAGCAAGACUCAGUUGCACUAUCAACAGCAGAAGCUGAGUAUGUUGCAGCAGCCGAAGCAGCAUGUCAAGCUAUAUGGCUUAGAAGAAUACUAGCGGAUAUGGGCGAACCGCAAGACUCAUCGACAGAGAUCUACUGCGAUAACAAGUCAGCUAUAGCAAUGGCUAAGAAUCCAGUUCAGCACAAUCGCACCAAGCACAUCGACAUCAAGUAUCACUUCUUGAGAGAUGUUGAAGCAAAGAAACUUAUCGAGAUGAAGUAUUGUCCAACAGAAGAGCAGUUGGCGGACAUCUUCACAAAAGCACUACCAAGGGACAGAUUCCAAUUUCUGCGAAGAAUGCUUGGAGUAACCGAUAAAUGCAUCAAGGAGGAGUAUUGAAGUGUGAUGCAUUUAUCUAGAAUAUUCUAAGUGAGAAUAUACUAUGCAUAAUCUAGAGAAUUCACCACUAGCUAGAUUACUCUAGAGUAUUCUAAAUAAUACCUAGGACAUGUAUGGUAUUCUAGAGAUUAGAUAUUUUCUAUAUAGUAUCUAGAGAAUUCCUUAAGUGGAUGCUAGUAGAGAAUUCUAGAUACAAGUUAGUGUAGUGGGAUCUAGAGAGAUCUUCCCACACCUAUAAAUAGAGCUCUUGUGAGCCAUUUGUAACCAAUCUCAAACCAAUCUCACAUAAUCUAAAACAUCUCAAAAACAUCACUCUAUCUAUUAUCUAAGUUCUUUGGAGACAAGAGCUCCACUCUAAAAUCAUUAUCUCUAUCUUCUACACACACUACACUCACAAUAUUCUCUACACCACUUCACUACAAUCACUCACCAUACUCAAGCCUCUAUAUAAUCACCUCCAUUUUCUAACAGAGACGCCGAUAGGAGUCGGCGGCGGCCGGCAGCGAAAUCGCCGGACAAGAAGGCGGCAGCUGCGACUGCAGAUUCAGGGAGAGAAAGAGAGAACAGAGCGAUGGAGCGUGGAUUUGAGAGAGAGAAUGUGAAAAGAAAAGAGUGAUGGAACGUGAAUUUUAGGGAGAAAGGAAUUGGGUUCCAGUUAUGGGCUAAGCCUUUAAUUCAGUAAUGGGCUGAAUUUUUUUAGCUGGACUAUGAUUUAUUUAAUUUGAACUCAUGUUGGGCCUUUUGAUUUUAAUGAAUAAAUCCCUAAGCAUUAAAUUAUUUUCAAAUACAUUUAGGUCUUUAUAUUUUAUUAUUUGAAUUUAACUGACAAGGUGCGGCGCGGCUAGGAUAUGAACUUUGAAAUUCUCACAGUUAAUCUUUCAAAGUUCAAAUUUCAACUGUGAGAUUUAUUUAAAUAUAUUGCUGUCAGUUUUUGACUUAACAGAAUAGUGUCUUGCGGGAUGAUUUUGAUGAUGAUCCCAUAGUCCAAAUCACUUGAAAUUUUUACAGUGAUAACUUCAUUAUGAGUAUUAGAUCUCUGCAAAAUUUCAACUGAAUCCGAAACCUUUAGAUAGGUCAAACAAUUUUCUUAAAAGUAAUGCGUGAAGCAGCAAGGUUCUGUAUCAGAUUCUGCCUUUUGUGAGAUCAUUUCUUGUACAUGCACUUGAGAUAUUGCAUUUUUGUAAAUUUUAAUGAUAGACUUUAAUAGCUUAAUUUCCAUUAAAAAGAUAAUUUCUUAUAUCUAAUUGUAAGUAACAACACUACUUUAGAUCUCAAAUCACAUAAGUAUUGUUGAGUAUAGACCCUCGUCGUCGUUGUAGAAGGCUUCCUUCGACUUUGGGCAGCCACAGCGCAGCUACAAAGCCGCAAAACAGCAGCUGCACAGCGGCGCAGCAACGAGGUAGCAGCAGCCUCGACAACCUGCAAGGAAAAACACACAAAGAGAGGAACAAGGGGCGUCGAUCUUCUCGGCUCAGGUACAGCUCUCUUCCUCUCGAUCACGCACACACUAAGCCACGAAGAAUCACAAAGGGGACGUUGCUCUCGCCGGCACCACAAUCGGCCAACAAGCCUUACACCUUCACCGGUAGCACCUCCACACAAAGGAAGAACACUAAGCAAUUUUCGUCUC